RNAcentral lists this non-coding RNA (60 nucleotides) under Chlamydomonas euryale. Lineage: Eukaryota; Viridiplantae; Chlorophyta; Chlorophyceae; Chlamydomonadales; Chlamydomonadaceae. The record is from RNAcentral.
ACAUCCCGCCUGCUUGUAAACUUGCAAUGAUGAAAAAAAAAAAAAAAAAAAAAAAAAAAA